CUUAGAUAGAAAGUAUUUAUCGGUCAUGGAUGGGAUGCGUAGGAUUAGGUAGUAGGCGGGGUAACGGCCCACUAGCCGACGAUCCUUAGGGGUUCUGAGAGGAAGGUCCCCCACACUGGUACUGAGACACGGACCAGACUCCUACGGGAGGCAGCAGUGAGGAAUAUUGGUCAAUGGGCGGAAGCCUGAACCAGCCAAGUAGCGUGAAGGAUUACCGCCCUACGGGUUUUAAACUUCUUUUAUGCGAGAGUAAUGUGCGCUACGUGUAGCGUAUUGCAAGUAUCGCAUGAAUAAGCAUCGGCUAACUCCGUG
Molecule: ribosomal RNA, 312 nt
Filed under: uncultured bacterium
Lineage: Bacteria
Description: bacterial SSU rRNA
Rfam family: Bacterial small subunit ribosomal RNA
Source: RNAcentral